UGGUAUUCUGUAGAAACACUAAUAAGUAAUUGAGCAGAUGAGAUGUUCUUGCUAGCUUUGGUAAAAAGUACAAGCAAGGUUGGAACUGCAGAGUUCUGAUGAGCCUCAGGAUGCUGAAGUCUAGCGUCUGAAUUGAACAUGGUAGGGCUCACAUCAUGGUUUGAGCAGAAAUCCGGCACUAAAUCCUUUUUUGAGAGUUAUCUUACUGACCUGUGUUUCUUAACAGUAGUGGUAGUAGUAAUAAUAAUAAUUACAAAGCAUGUAUCUAAACCAGAUCACCUAAGUUGUCAUUUUUCAUGUGUUUAAUGUGUGCUACUGUGUAUCAGUUUGAGAUUAUCGAAUGUACAGUGUAGCCUGUGUCCCUUGCAGUCCCAGCAAAUGCGGAGAUGUCGGCUUGCCUGCUGUAUAUGUGUUCAAAUGGCUCUGGAAGAGAGGAAGUCGUCUAGCUAUCAGUUACAAUGCCAUCCGGAAAAUGAAAGAGAUAGCCAGAUCGAAGGCAGUAGCAGUGGCUGAAGAGAUGUGGGGACUUGGUGGCCUGUUGUAGUAGGACCUGAUGGGAAAAGAAGGCCUAGCCUGAGGGUGCUCUGAAAGGCCAGAACUUUGUAUAUGUACCUGUACCUGUACCUGGAAUACACCGUCGCAGGCCAACUUCGACUCUUCUCUGCACCCCUUCUCGCUGCAGCCUCCAGGGUGUUGGGUAAGCUCCAUUCUCCACUGUCUGGUGACUAUCUGUUACCCUCCUAAACACAGGACUUCUGUUCAUGGCCAUGUUCAGGCCAUCAGACAAGUUGUGUCCCCUGUGUGACAGGACACACAAUUCAGUGUGGAUUGUGGUGGGGAAAUGUGAGGUAAUAGACAGUGUGAAAGUUCCCAGCUGCCUCCAAAGUCCCAGGCAGUCUGGAUUCUCUCUUCAUGGCAAUGAGAAGCUCUAGAAGAUUUGUGUAUACUGUGGUGCCUCAAACUUCUAAAGGGG
This 973-nucleotide long non-coding RNA is filed under the name Castor canadensis (American beaver). RNAcentral describes it as "lncRNA (ENSCCNG00000017701.1)". The record is from RNAcentral. Lineage: Eukaryota; Metazoa; Chordata; Mammalia; Rodentia; Castoridae.